This 58-nucleotide transfer RNA is filed under the name Salmo salar (Atlantic salmon). It matches the Rfam family "tRNA", at positions 8 to 63 of the family's 71-position model. Rfam says of the family: Transfer RNA (tRNA) molecules are approximately 80 nucleotides in length. Their secondary structure includes four short double-helical elements and three loops (D, anti-codon, and T loops). Lineage: Eukaryota; Metazoa; Chordata; Actinopteri; Salmoniformes; Salmonidae. The record is from Rfam by way of RNAcentral.
UGGCUCAGUUGGUAGAGCACUGUACUUGCAAUGGCAGAGUUGUGGGUUUGAUUCCCAU